Molecule: ribosomal RNA, 1160 nt
Filed under: Mangora gibberosa
Lineage: Eukaryota; Metazoa; Arthropoda; Arachnida; Araneae; Araneidae
Description: SSU rRNA
Rfam family: Eukaryotic small subunit ribosomal RNA
Source: RNAcentral
AAAAGCUCGUAGUUGGAUCUCAGCUCCGGCCGGACGGUCCGCCUACCGGUGGUUACUGUCCGUCGCCGAGCGUUCAGGCGGUUAUUCUUGAUGAUCUUCACCGGUUGUCUCGGGUGACCGCCAAGUUUACUUUGAAAAAAUUAGAGUGCUCAAAGCAGGCGCGACGCCUGAAUAAUUGUGCAUGGAAUAAUGGAAUAGGACCUCGGUUCUAUUUUGUUGGUUUUCGGAACACGAGGUAAUGAUUAAGAGGGACAGACGGGGGCAUUCGUAUUGCGACGCUAGAGGUGAAAUUCUUGGACCGUCGCAAGACGAACUACUGCGAAAGCAUUUGCCAAGAAUGUUUCCAUUAAUCAAGAACGAAAGUUAGAGGUUCGAAGGCGAUCAGAUACCGCCCUAGUUCUAACCAUAAACGAUGCCAGCCAGCGAUCCGGCUGUGUUCCUCAAAUGACACGCCGGGCAGCUUCCGGGAAACCAAAGCGUUUGGGUUCCGGGGGAAGUAUGGUUGCAAAACUCAAACUUAAAGGAAUUGACGGAAGGGCACCACCAGGCAUGGAGCCUGCGGCUUAAUUUGACUCAACACGGGAAAACUUACCCGGCCCGGACACAGGAAGGAUUGACAGAUUAAGAGCUCUUUCUUGAUUCUGUGGGUGGUGGUGCAUGGCCGUUCUUAGUUGGUGGGGCGACUUGUCUGGUUAAUUCCGAUAACGAACGAGACUCUAGCCUACUAAAUAGACGUUCCCAUCCUCUUUAGUGGGACGUUCUUCUUAGAGGGACAAGCGGCGUUUAGCCGCACGAGACAGAGCAAUAACAGGUCUGAGAUGCCCUUAGAUGUCCGGGGCCGCACGCGCGCUACAUUGAAGGAAUCAGCGUGUGCUCUCCCUGUCCGAAAGGACUGGGUAACCCGUUGAACCUCCUUCGUGCUGGGGAUUGGACUAUGUAAUUACGUCCAUGAACGAGGAAUUCCCAGUAAGCACGAGUCAUCAGCUCGUGUUGAUUACGUCCCUGCCCUUUGUACACACCGCCCGUCGCUACUACCGAUUGAAUGAUUUAGUGAGGUCUUCGGACUGGCGCUCGGAUUGGCCCUUCGUGGUCGAGCCGGUGUGCCGGAAAGAUGACCAAACUUGAUCAUUUAGAGGAAGUAAAAGUCGUAACAAGGUUUU